This 253-nucleotide ribosomal RNA is filed under the name uncultured bacterium. RNAcentral describes it as "partial 16S ribosomal RNA". It matches the Rfam family "Bacterial small subunit ribosomal RNA", at positions 524 to 776 of the family's 1533-position model. The record is from RNAcentral.
UACGUAGGGUGCAAGCGUUAAUCGGAAUUACUGGGCGUAAAGCGUGCGCAGGCGGUUGUGCAAGGCCGAUGUGAAAUCCCCGGGCUUAACCUGGGAAUGGCAUUGGUGACUGCACGGCUAGAGUGUGUCAGAGGGGGGUAGAAUUCCACGUGUAGCAGUGAAAUGCGUAGAGAUGUGGAGGAAUACCGAUGGCGAAGGCAGCCCCCUGGGAUAACACUGACGCUCAUGCACGAAAGCGUGGGGAGCAAACAGG